GCCUUCUUAGCUCAGUGGUAGAGCGUUGCACUUGUAUUCUGCUUUCGUCCCAAGGCUUACACAAAUGCAAAGGUCAGUCGUUCAAUCCGGCUAGGAGGCA
Rhodocollybia butyracea is the source of this 100-nucleotide non-coding RNA. The record is from the annotation of a GenBank genome assembly. Lineage: Eukaryota; Fungi; Basidiomycota; Agaricomycetes; Agaricales; Omphalotaceae.